Molecule: long non-coding RNA, 519 nt
Organism: Cynara cardunculus var. scolymus (artichoke)
Lineage: Eukaryota; Viridiplantae; Streptophyta; Magnoliopsida; Asterales; Asteraceae
Exons: 2
Source: RefSeq, a predicted model, not a curated record
GUCUUUGGUGUUUAUAUACAAAACCCAAAUCACAUAUCCAAGAGGAGAGUUGUAGGGUACAAAAAAGAGAAUCAAGAUGGGUAUGUUCAGCAAGCAUGUUUCCCUGAUUUUGGUGGUGUUUGUUCUUGUGACCAUCUUCCAGUCUCAUCAUCAGAUGACGAUAUUUGCACAAGCAAGGCCACUUUCCAUCAUCCCUGAACAUGGUUAUGCGAAUGUUUUCGAUACACUUGGAAUGAUAUGUAAAUGUUGUGAUCAUUCAAGGGAAGAUUGCACAAGUAGAUGGAAUGGAUCGUGUUCUAAUCUCCGCUGCAUUCCUUGGAAAUUCCGUUAAGUUGAGUGUUCGUAUUUGUAGUUAAUCUGUAGUGCAAAUUUUAACGAGGAUGUAAAUUUGAAGUACAUACAAUACGUGAAGGUGUCGAUUUUGUAGAUUUAGACGUAUCCUUGGCUUUAUAAUGAUUAUUGAAGUACCUUCGAUCUUCAACCUCAAAUAAAUGAUUGUCGCUAGAAUUAGUCAACUAA